UUUAACAAGUUGGUUUAAUUAAUUAGAGAAAAUCUUAGUUUGGAGAGAUGAUGAUAUUGGCGAGAAACAUAGUGAUUCUUAUCAUUACCAUAAUAUUGCUUGUUUUUUCAGAAGCAAGAUCAAUUGCAUUUUCAGAGCUGGCGUCCGUUGAUGCAGCUUCCCGUGAUCCAACACCGCCACCGCCACCGCCGGCAUAUGCACAGUCGCCUCAUAAUUAAUUAGAUUAUGCCAAAUAUAUCUGAUGAGAGUGCAUUUUUAUAUAAAUAGAGAAAUAAUCUUAUGUUUGCCUCAAUUUAAAUUCCAAAACGUAGCAAGUGUUUUAUUUUUA
This is a non-coding RNA of Salvia hispanica, 328 nucleotides long. The record is from RefSeq and is a predicted model, not a curated record. NCBI's taxonomy places the organism in Eukaryota, Viridiplantae, Streptophyta, Magnoliopsida, Lamiales, Lamiaceae.